AACGAAGGUGGCUAGCGUUGUUCGGAAUUACUGGGCAUAAAGCGCACGUAGGUGGCCUCGUGUGUCGAUGGUGAAAUCCUGCAGCUUAACUGUAGAAUUGCCGUCGAAACUACGGGGCUAGAGGGCAGGAGGGGAGAGUGGAAUUCCUAGUGUAGCGGUGAAAUGCGUAGAUAUUAGGAGGAACGCCGGUGGCUAAAGCGACUCUCUGGAUGGCUACUGACACUGAGGUGCGAAAGCUAGGGGAGCAAACAGG
Molecule: ribosomal RNA, 253 nt
Filed under: uncultured bacterium
Lineage: Bacteria
Description: partial 16S ribosomal RNA
Rfam family: Bacterial small subunit ribosomal RNA
Source: RNAcentral